AGGAUUUCUUUGGUUUUGUCUAUGUCCUUGCAAACUGCUUUGUUUCAUUUCUUCUGCUCAGUAUCAGGGGGCUUUCUCUGGCCUCUGAUCAGCGAUGGUGUUUGGCCACAUUCUAGAGAUACGAAGUUGUAUAAGCACCAUUCUUUUAGACCCCAGUCACAACUAAAAUUGGGCCAAAGACCUGCUCCCUUCAUGUUUUCUCACGAUUGCAAUAACAUGUACCCAUAUAUCUGUAACU
RNAcentral lists this long non-coding RNA (238 nucleotides) under Homo sapiens (human). RNAcentral's name for it is "LHRI_LNC106.1". Lineage: Eukaryota; Metazoa; Chordata; Mammalia; Primates; Hominidae. The record is from RNAcentral.